RNAcentral lists this ribosomal RNA (500 nucleotides) under uncultured bacterium. Its description in RNAcentral is "partial 16S ribosomal RNA". It matches the Rfam family "Bacterial small subunit ribosomal RNA", at positions 30 to 523 of the family's 1533-position model. The record is from RNAcentral.
AUUGGACGCUGGCGGAAUGCUUUACACAUGCAAGUCGAACGGCAGCACGGACUUCGGUCUGGUGGCGAGUGGCGAACGGGUGAGUAAUGUAUCGGAACGUGCCCAGUCGUGGGGGAUAACGUAGUGAAAAUUACGCUAAUACCGCAUACGAUCUAUGAAUGAAAGCGGGGGAUCGCAAGACCUCACGCGAUUGGAGCGGCCGGUAUCAGAUUAGGUAGUUGGUGGGGUAAAGGCCCACCAAGCCAACGAUCUGUAGCUGGUCUGAGAGGACGACCAGCCACACUGGAACUGAGACACGGUCCAGACUCCUACGGGAGGCAGCAGUGGGGAAUUUUGGACAAUGGGCGAAAGCCUGAUCCAGCCAUUCCGCGUGCAGGAUGAAGGCCCUCGGGUUGUAAACUGCUUUUGUACAGAACGAAAAGGUUUCUACUAAUACUAGGAGCUCAUGACGGUACUGUAGGAAUAAGCACCGGCUAACUACGUGCCAGCCGCCGCCGUAA